RNAcentral lists this ribosomal RNA (550 nucleotides) under uncultured bacterium. RNAcentral's name for it is "partial 16S ribosomal RNA". It matches the Rfam family "Bacterial small subunit ribosomal RNA", at positions 355 to 896 of the family's 1533-position model. The record is from RNAcentral.
UGGGGAAUUUUGGACAAUGGGCGCAAGCCUGAUCCAGCCAUGCCGCGUGCGGGAAGAAGGCCUUCGGGUUGUAAACCGCUUUUGUCAGGGAAGAAAUCUUCUGAGUUAAUACCUCGGGAGGAUGACGGUACCUGAAGAAUAAGCACCGGCUAACUACGUGCCAGCAGCCGCGGUAAUACGUAGGGUGCAAGCGUUAAUCGGAAUUACUGGGCGUAAAGCGUGCGCAGGCGGUUUUGUAAGACAGAGGUGAAAUCCCCGGGCUCAACCUGGGAACUGCCUUUGUGACUGCAAGGCUUGAGUGCGGCAGAGGGGGGAUGGAAUUCCGCGUGUAGCAGUGAAAUGCGUAGAUAUGCGGAGGAACACCGAUGGCGAAGGCAAUCCCCUGGGCCUGCACUGACGCUCAUGCACGAAAGCGUGGGGAGCAAACAGGAUUAGAUAGCCCUGGUAGUCCACGCCCUAAACGAUGUCAACUGGUUGUUGGGAAGGUUCCUUCUCAGUAACGUAGCUAACGCGUGAAGUUGACCGCCUGGGGAGUACGGCCGCAAGGUUG